GAUGAACGCUGGCGGCGUGCCUAAUACAUGCAAGUCGAGCGAACGGACGAGAAGCUCGCUUCUCUGAUGUUAGCGGCGGACGGGUGAGUAACACGUGGAUAACCUACCUAUAAGACUGGGAUAACUUCGGGAAACCGGAGCUAAUACCGGCUAAUAUUUUGAACCGCAUGGUUCAAAAGUGAAAGACGGUCUUGCUGUCACUUAUAGAUGGAUCCGCGCUGCAUUAGCUAGUUGGUAAGGUAACGGCUUACCAAGGCAACGAUGCAUAGCCGACCUGAGAGGGUGAUCGGCCACACUGGAACUGAGACACGGUCCAGACUCCUACGGGAGGCAGCAGUAGGGAAUAUUCCGCAAUGGGCGAAAGCCUGACGGAGCAACGCCGCGUGAGUGAUGAAGGUCUUCGGAUCGUAAAACUCUGUUAUUAGGGAAGAACAGAUGUGUAAGUAACUGUGCACAUCUUGACGGUACCUAAUCAGAAAGCCACGGCUAACUACGUG
Molecule: ribosomal RNA, 497 nt
Filed under: uncultured bacterium
Lineage: Bacteria
Description: partial 16S ribosomal RNA
Rfam family: Bacterial small subunit ribosomal RNA
Source: RNAcentral